Molecule: ribosomal RNA, 594 nt
Filed under: Triticum aestivum (bread wheat)
Lineage: Eukaryota; Viridiplantae; Streptophyta; Magnoliopsida; Poales; Poaceae
Description: partial small subunit ribosomal RNA
Source: RNAcentral
AUGAACACCGCCGGUCUGCCGCUUGAUACAACAGACGAACGUCCCCGCUUGACCCCGCCGCCUCUAACUCUUCCAUCCAUCAAAAGGUUGUCCAAAAUGGCGAGAGAUGGCCUGCCUGCCGAGCGCACGAGCGAUCUGUUUGGCUGGGGUUUGUCAGCGGUGGAGCGAGCUCGGUAUAGUGAGCUGAGAAUAUUAGGAGCAAAAGCUUGCCAUGUUGCAGCCAAUAACCCAUUUUUGUUCGAUAAGUUACAGAAAACUUUCCAGGAUAUAAUAUCGAAUAAAGAUGCCCCUGAUAAUGAAGCAGAUGGCCACAGAAGUUCUAUGAAUGAGGAGGCAUGUGAGUGUCAACGAGAUGCAGUUGUUAUUGGUGAUCCUCUAAAAGUUUGCACGAAUGGUGCACCUAAGCAAACUCGAAAAGGCCGUGCAAAUGGGGGCCCAGAAGUGACGAAAAAUGGUAGACCAAAAGCAUUUGGCGAGAAAAGUGAUCGUUUGUGCGGCAUAUGCCACAAACCAGGUCAUAACAGGCAAACAUGCAGCGAAAAUCCAAAUUGUUUUCGUCUUUAUGCAGCAAUAUGGCAUAGAGAUGCACCUUAA